Molecule: ribosomal RNA, 1276 nt
Filed under: Microbacterium sp. B3(2012)
Lineage: Bacteria; Bacillati; Actinomycetota; Actinomycetes; Micrococcales; Microbacteriaceae
Description: bacterial SSU rRNA
Rfam family: Bacterial small subunit ribosomal RNA
Source: RNAcentral
GUAACACGUGAGCAACCUGCCCCUCACUCUGGGAUAAGCGCUGGAAACGGCGUCUAAUACUGGAUACGAGUCGCAACCGCAUGGUUAGUGACUGGAAAGAUUUUUUGGUGGGGGAUGGGCUCGCGGCCUAUCAGCUUGUUGGUGAGGUAAUGGCUCACCAAGGCGUCGACGGGUAGCCGGCCUGAGAGGGUGACCGGCCACACUGGGACUGAGACACGGCCCAGACUCCUACGGGAGGCAGCAGUGGGGAAUAUUGCACAAUGGGCGGAAGCCUGAUGCAGCAACGCCGCGUGAGGGAUGACGGCCUUCGGGUUGUAAACCUCUUUUAGCAGGGAAGAAGCGAAAGUGACGGUACCUGCAGAAAAAGCACCGGCUAACUACGUGCCAGCAGCCGCGGUAAUACGUAGGGUGCAAGCGUUAUCCGGAAUUAUUGGGCGUAAAGAGCUCGUAGGCGGUUUGUCGCGUCUGCUGUGAAAUCCCGAGGCUCAACCUCGGGCCUGCAGUGGGUACGGGCAGACUAGAGUGCGGUAGGGGAGAUUGGAAUUCCUGGUGUAGCGGUGGAAUGCGCAGAUAUCAGGAGGAACACCGAUGGCGAAGGCAGAUCUCUGGGCCGUAACUGACGCUGAGGAGCGAAAGGGUGGGGAGCAAACAGGCUUAGAUACCCUGGUAGUCCACCCCGUAAACGUUGGGAACUAGUUGUGGGGUCCUUUCCACGGAUUCCGUGACGCAGCUAACGCAUUAAGUUCCCCGCCUGGGGAGUACGGCCGCAAGGCUAAAACUCAAAGGAAUUGACGGGGACCCGCACAAGCGGCGGAGCAUGCGGAUUAAUUCGAUGCAACGCGAAGAACCUUACCAAGGCUUGACAUACACGAGAACGGGCCAGAAAUGGUCAACUCUUUGGACACUCGUGAACAGGUGGUGCAUGGUUGUCGUCAGCUCGUGUCGUGAGAUGUUGGGUUAAGUCCCGCAACGAGCGCAACCCUCGUUCUAUGUUGCCAGCACGUAAUGGUGGGAACUCAUGGGAUACUGCCGGGGUCAACUCGGAGGAAGGUGGGGAUGACGUCAAAUCAUCAUGCCCCUUAUGUCUUGGGCUUCACGCAUGCUACAAUGGCCGGUACAAAGGGCUGCAAUACCGUGAGGUGGAGCGAAUCCCAAAAAGCCGGUCCCAGUUCGGAUUGAGGUCUGCAACUCGACCUCAUGAAGUCGGAGUCGCUAGUAAUCGCAGAUCAGCAACGCUGCGGUGAAUACGUUCCCGGGUCUUGUACACACCGCCCGU